Molecule: RNA transcript, 3252 nt
Organism: Aedes aegypti (yellow fever mosquito)
Lineage: Eukaryota; Metazoa; Arthropoda; Insecta; Diptera; Culicidae
Exons: 5
Source: RefSeq, a predicted model, not a curated record
UGUAGAGUGUGAGAACUCUUCUCUCUUGCACUCGGCACAGCGUGAGUGACUUUCGAGAGUUCAUCCAACUGUCAAAACUUCCGCUUCGGCCACCGACCGACCGAAUGUUUAUUCUUUUGUGCCGCUCUUCAAAGGAGUUCAAAAAGCGUCCGUACUUUCAUUUUACUUUUUAAAAAAGUGCAUUUCAAGCUGUGAUAUUCGGUCUGUUUCGCUAACAAAAGUUGCUUCCGAGUGCAAAUCUCCAAAACAGCAUGGAAACGCUGUCGGAACAAUCGUCAUCCACCACGGUGGCGGUUUCGGUGCAACAACAGCAGGGCAUCCUACUGGACGACCGGCUGGACCAGAUGACGCACGAUUACUACGACCCGAUGCUGAACCGGUACGACACUGGUCCGGGGGCCGAUCUGGACGACACCCAGCAGCCGGGAGCGUUGGCCGCAUCGGCGGCAGCAGCAGCGGCGGCCAGCAAGUCGAGCGAUUUCGCCCACAGUGACACUCCGGCUGCGGUCCGGAUUCGGCUGAAAAACACCCGGGACCUGACGGAGGAUGGCCUGCGGGAGCUAUGCCGCGUGUACGGAACCGUAAUCAACGUGCACAAGCCCAAACAGGACGCGAGCACCGCGUUUGUGGAGUUUGCCAAUCAAAGCGAAGCGGGAUUGGCCAUUCAGGAGCUGAAUCGCAAGCUGGGGUUCCAGUUCUAUCCGGCAUUCGCUCACGAGAAGAAAACCCUACCGCCGAGGGACAUGAACUUGCCUGCGCCGCCGCCACCGUUCGAAUCCGCCGCCGAAGUGCAGCUGAUCCAGACGAUUGAAGCCAGCGGCGACGAGGAAAGCUGGGAAAUGACGCUGGCACCGCGCCGGAUCAAGACCGGAUUCUCGAUUCCGCUGAAGGUGCGCUUUCCGGAGCAGGGCACGUUGGCCACGGCUCCGUUCUAUGCGAGUAGAAGUUCGCCCCUGUCGCGGAUCGAUACCAAUCAGAUCUUCAGCAUCGUGACUGCGCUGGACAAUGAGCACCGUGGGACGAAGCCGCUAUUCGACACCAACGUUGAGGACCGGAUUGAGAUCCUAUCUAAGCGCGAAGGUGUGAACCGCGUGGAACCCAAAGGCCAAAUCAACGGGAAAUCCACAUUCGGCUUCAGUGGUCUGCCCGCGGAUCAGAGUGCCAUGUUUCCGGAUUCCUUCUGCACGCAGUGUGGCCAGCGGGGAUUCUUCAGCUGCAGUCUCUGUGGGACUCAGUACUGCUCAAAGCACUGCCAGCACGUGGAUUACGAGCGCCACAAAGGACACUGUCAGCCCAAAACGAGCGAAACCGAUGCCAGUCGGUGUUCUACGCCGGGGAGCAAGAAAGGAGGAUUCCAAGACCUGGACGAAGCCUGUCUGGUGCAGGAAGACUUUCCGAAAGGUUCGCACGUUGUGAUUUUGUCGGUGCUGAGCCCGGAACGGGUCUUCGUACGAUCGUUGGACAAGGAAAGCAACAAGGAGUACCUCCAAACGCUGAGCGACAUUGCCAAGGCCGGGUUGUCGGCGGGUAAGCUGACCACUCUGCCAGAACCGGGCGACAUAUGCCUCGCUCUUUAUGAACCGUUGAAGAUCUACGGCCGCGUGCUGAUCGUCAAAGUCACCCGGAAGGAAGCUCUCUGCGUGUUUAUCGAGUUUGGUCUGAUCAACGUAGUUCCCAUCGGCGAACUUCGUCUGCUGACCGACACCGACCUCAAACUACGCAAGGUCCGAAUCCACAAGGUACAUCUCAAGGGCAUCACCGAAGAGUACGGCCACAUCGAAAAGGCCAUGGCCUAUCUGAACACCCUUAUCGAUCAACCGCUGGAAAUGAAGGUCCAACUCGAAGUGGGCAACCUCGUGGACGGUCAACUGCGAACCGCAGCCGGAAUCAGUGUCAACAAGAAAAUCAACGAUCUCAUAACCAUUCCCAUCUGCAAAUCGUCGGACAAUCCAGAUUCGUUCGUCGACUACAAAACCGUACCGCAUAAGACCCUUCCUCCGAACCAAAACCUUGACGUGAUGAUUCUCAACCGGACCACCAUCAAGCUGGACUUCCGGGUUUCGCUCAUCGCCUACGAGGACCUCCCGUACCUGGAGGACCUUCAGCGUAAACUGCAAAGCUACGGCAAGAAGGUGAACCGCUUCAUCGAACACUACACGCCGCGACUGAACGAACUGUGCCUGGUUCGGAACAUGGACACCUGGUAUCGGGCCGUUUGUCUGGAGUCCGUGGGCGAUGGCCGUCCCACUGUCUACCUGUGCGACUACGGCUGUCUUCUGAUGGCCCGACUAGACGACAUUCGGAAAAUUCCACCCUCCCUAGCGACGGAAGUCCGCACCACGGAUGCGCGCGUUUUCGGCGUGGAGGAAGCGGAAAAGGCCGGCGUCAAGAUCGAUUCGGAGUUCCUGGAUAUCUACCUGGAGGAGAACGAGCGCAUGGCGGUCCAGACCAGUGAGGAGGUGGAGUUCAAGGAGUUCGAAUUUGCCCUGUCCAAGGAAGAAACAUCGAUGCUGACGGUGAUCCGGGUGCCGGAUUUGAUCAGCUUCAUCGAGGACCGGGCGCACUGCGUUUAAUCACGCGACGACAAUGACUACUGGUAUCAAACUUUUUACACUUAUAUCGGGACGACGACCCCCUCCAAACAGCAGGAUGUAAAAACACCAUCCCUGGGUACUCCGUGUAGCCUCCGUUUCGAUUGUCGCAAAGGUGGGCGGAAGCGGCUUCUUACCGCAGGACUUACGUGCUACUAUCAAAAUAUCAUUCAUCGAAGCAGGCUGGGAGAGAGCGAGAGAGGGACCAAUACACCGGCAAUCAUAGGAGGCCAGGACAUCCACUCUUUCCACCAAUACAUAGCACCUAAACCAAAAUACGACUUUUUUUCCUGGUUGGGUGUCUCGUUCAUCCUUAUGCGCCUCCGAAAGGCGCCCGAGCAGGACGGCGACAAAUGGCAAAGCAAGAGGGAGUGUGUAUCCAGGAAUAACCCCCUCGUCGUGUCGCGCUCGGUUCAAUAAAGAAGCAGGCGACCAUUGAAAAUUUUCCACUCCUUGCGCCUUGAUCCUUAGCUCUCAGACACAUCGAUUUCCACAAAAAUCCUUUUUCCCACCACACACUGAUUAAUAAUUAGAACAUUUUCCUUUCUGAAACUUAAUCACUUCCGGUCAGAUAGACGGCCCAACACUCCCAAUCUUCGUCUUCUUCUCAUGUACCUAUUACUUCGAUUUAAACUGCCCAACAGGGAAACGCCUCAAUCUA